GGGCUCGUAGCUCAGCUGGCUAGAGCGUUGCAUUGACAUUGCAGAGGUCAGAGGUUCAAGUCCUCUCGGGCCCACAA
This 77-nucleotide transfer RNA is filed under the name Candidatus Levybacteria bacterium RIFCSPHIGHO2_01_FULL_36_15. RNAcentral's name for it is "tRNA-Val". It matches the Rfam family "tRNA". From Rfam's summary of the family: Transfer RNA (tRNA) molecules are approximately 80 nucleotides in length. The record is from RNAcentral. RNAcentral also lists the same sequence under 1 other name. Lineage: Bacteria; Candidatus Levyibacteriota.